Molecule: ribosomal RNA, 497 nt
Filed under: uncultured bacterium
Lineage: Bacteria
Description: partial 16S ribosomal RNA
Rfam family: Bacterial small subunit ribosomal RNA
Source: RNAcentral
GAUGAACGCUGGCGGCGUGCCUAAUACAUGCAAGUCGAGCGAACAGACGAGGAGCUUGCUCCUCUGACGUUAGCGGCGGACGGGUGAGUAACACGUGUAUAACCUACCUAUAAGACUGGGAUAACUUCGGGAAACCGGAGCUAAUACCGGAGAAUAUAUUGAACCGCAUGGUUCAAUAGUGAAAGACGGUUUUGCUGUCACUUAUAGAUGGAUCCGCGCCGCAUUAGCUAGUUGGUAAGGUAACGGCUUACCAAGGCAACGAUGCGUAGCCGACCUGAGAGGGUGAUCGGCCACACGGGAACUGAGACACGGUCCAGAGUCCUACGGGACGCAGCAGUAGGGAAUCGGCCGCAAUGGGCGAAAGCCUGACGGAGCGACGGCGCGUGAGUGAUGGAGGUCUUCGGAUCGUAAAGAUCUGUUAUUAGGGAAGAACAAAUGUGUACGUAAAUAUGCACGUCGUGACGGUACCUGAUCAGAAAGCAACGGCUAACUACGUG